UGAAUACGAGACGCUACGGCGUCGAAGCAGUCUAUGUCAUACUUCCAAGAAAAGCUUGCACUGUCAUAAACAAAUAAUGCCUGUACCAUAACCGACACAGGUGGGUAGGUAGAGUAUACUAAGGGGCGCGAGAUAGCUCUCUCUAAGAACUCGGCAAAAUGACUCCGUAACUUCGGGAGAAGGAGUGCCUUAUUUAUAAGGUUGCAAUAACAAGAUCCAAGCAACUGUUUAUCAAAAACACAGGUCUCCGCUAAGUCGUAAGACGAUGUAUGGGGGCUGACGCCUGCCCAGUGCCAGAAGGUUAAAGAAGUUGGUUAGCAUUAGCGAAGCUGAUAACUGAAGCCCUGGUGAACGGCGGCCGUAACUAUAACGGUCCUAAGGUAGCGAAAUUCCUUGUCGGGUAAGUUCCGACCCGCACGAAAGGCGUAAUGAUUUGGAUACUGUCUCAGAGAGGGGCUCGGUGAAAUAGACUUGUCUGUGAAGAUGCGGACUACCUGCACCAGGACAGAAAGACCCUAUGAAGCUUUACUGUAACUUGAAAUUGAAAUUGGACUUUAUUUGCGCAGUAUAGGUGGGAGGCAUUGAUAAUAUUCUUGCGGGAAUGUUGGAGCCAUCAGUGAGAUACCACUCUCGUAAUGUUAGAUUUCUAACUUUGGAUCAUUAUCUGGUCAAAGGACAGUUUCAGGCGGGCAGUUUGACUGGGGCGGUCGCCUCCUAAAUGGUAACGGAGGCGCACAAAGGUUUCCUCUGAACGGGUAGAAAUCGUAUCUAGAGUGUAAAGGCAUAAGGAAGCUUGACUGUGAGACCUACAAGUCGAGCAGGGACGAAAGUCGGUCUUAGUGAUCUGACGGUGCUGAGUGGAAAGGCCGUCACUCAACGGAUAAAAGUUACUCUAAGGAUAACAGGCUGAUCUCCCCCAAGAGUUCACAUCGACGGGGAGGUUUGGCACCUCGAUGUCGGCUCAUCGCAUCCUGGGGCGGUAGUACGUCCCAAGGGUUGGGCUGUUCGCCCAUGAAAGCGGUACGCGAGCUGGGUUCAGAACGUCGUGAGACAGUUCGGUCCAUAUCCGGUGUAGGCGCUAGAAUAUUGAGAGGAGCCUUCUUUAGUACGAGAGGACCGAGAAGGACAUACCUCUGGUGUACCAGUUAUCGUGCCAACGGUAAACGCUGGGUAGCUAUGUAUGGAGAGGAUAACCGCUGAAAGCAUCUAAGUGGGAAGCCCACCUCAAGAUAAGUAUUCUCA
RNAcentral lists this ribosomal RNA (1242 nucleotides) under metagenome. Its description in RNAcentral is "bacterial LSU rRNA". It matches the Rfam family "Bacterial large subunit ribosomal RNA", at positions 1564 to 2816 of the family's 2925-position model. The record is from RNAcentral.